Molecule: ribosomal RNA, 463 nt
Filed under: uncultured bacterium
Lineage: Bacteria
Description: partial 16S ribosomal RNA
Rfam family: Bacterial small subunit ribosomal RNA
Source: RNAcentral
GACGAACGCUGGCGGCGUGCUUAACACAUGCAAGUCGAGCGAUGAAGUUCCCUUCGGGGAACGGAUUAGCGGCGGACGGGUGAGUAACACGUGGGUAACCUGCCUCAAAGAGGGGGAUAGCCUCCCGAAAGGGAGAUUAAUACCGCAUAAUAUCUUUUUAAUGCAUGUUAGAAAGAUUAAAGGAGCAAUCCGCUUUGAGAUGGACCCGCGGCGCAUUAGCUAGUUGGUGAGGUAACGGCUCACCAAGGCGACGAUGCGUAGCCGACCUGAGAGGGUGAUCGGCCACAUUGGGACUGAGACACGGCCCAGACUCCUACGGGAGGCAGCAGUGGGGAAUAUUGCGCAAUGGGGGAAACCCUGACGCAGCAACGCCGCGUGAGUGAUGAAGGUCUUCGGAUCGUAAAGCUCUGUCUUCAGGGACGAUAAUGACGGUACCUGAGGAGGAAGCCACGGCUAACUACGU